CCCUUAGAUGUUCUGGGCCGCACGCGCGCUACACUGAUGCAUUCAACGAGUCUAAAACCUGGUCUGAUAGGGCUGGGUAAUCUUUUGAAUGUGCAUCGUGAUUGGGAUAGAUGAUUGCAAUUCUUCAUCUUCAACGAGGAAUGCCUAGUAAACGCAAGUCAUCAGCUUGUGCCGAUUACGUCCCUGCCCUUUGUACACACCGCCCGUCGCUACUACCGAUUGAAUGGCUCAGUGAGGCCUUCGGACUGGCCCAGGGAGGUUGGCAACGACCACCCAGGGCCGGAAAGUUGGUCAAACUUGGUCAUUUAGAGGAAGUAAAAGUCGUAACA
Molecule: ribosomal RNA, 329 nt
Filed under: uncultured eukaryote
Lineage: Eukaryota
Description: partial 18S ribosomal RNA
Rfam family: Eukaryotic small subunit ribosomal RNA
Source: RNAcentral